Molecule: ribosomal RNA, 2925 nt
Filed under: Staphylococcus aureus subsp. aureus MRSA252
Lineage: Bacteria; Bacillati; Bacillota; Bacilli; Caryophanales; Staphylococcaceae
Description: bacterial LSU rRNA
Rfam family: Bacterial large subunit ribosomal RNA
Source: RNAcentral
GAUUAAGUUAUUAAGGGCGCACGGUGGAUGCCUUGGCACUAGAAGCCGAUGAAGGACGUUACUAACGACGAUAUGCUUUGGGGAGCUGUAAGUAAGCUUUGAUCCAGAGAUUUCCGAAUGGGGAAACCCAGCAUGAGUUAUGUCAUGUUAUCGAUAUGUGAAUACAUAGCAUAUCAGAAGGCACACCCGGAGAACUGAAACAUCUUAGUACCCGGAGGAAGAGAAAGAAAAUUCGAUUCCCUUAGUAGCCGGCGAGCGAAACGGGAAGAGCCCAAACCAACAAGCUUGCUUGUUGGGGUUGUAGGACACUCUAUACGGAGUUACAAAGGACGACAUUAGACGAAUCAUCUGGAAAGAUGAAUCAAAGAAGGUAAUAAUCCUGUAGUCGAAAAUGUUGUCUCUCUUGAGUGGAUCCUGAGUACGACGGAGCACGUGAAAUUCCGUCGGAAUCUGGGAGGACCAUCUCCUAAGGCUAAAUACUCUCUAGUGACCGAUAGUGAACCAGUACCGUGAGGGAAAGGUGAAAAGCACCCCGGAAGGGGAGUGAAAUAGAACCUGAAACCGUGUGCUUACAAGUAGUCAGAGCCCGUUAAUGGGUGAUGGCGUGCCUUUUGUAGAAUGAACCGGCGAGUUACGAUUUGAUGCAAGGUUAAGCAGUAAAUGUGGAGCCGUAGCGAAAGCGAGUCUGAAUAGGGCGUUUAGUAUUUGGUCGUAGACCCGAAACCAGGUGAUCUACCCUUGGUCAGGUUGAAGUUCAGGUAACACUGAAUGGAGGACCGAACCGACUUACGUUGAAAAGUGAGCGGAUGAACUGAGGGUAGCGGAGAAAUUCCAAUCGAACCUGGAGAUAGCUGGUUCUCUCCGAAAUAGCUUUAGGGCUAGCCUCAAGUGAUGAUUAUUGGAGGUAGAGCACUGUUUGGACGAGGGGCCCCUCUCGGGUUACCGAAUUCAGACAAACUCCGAAUGCCAAUUAAUUUAACUUGGGAGUCAGAACAUGGGUGAUAAGGUCCGUGUUCGAAAGGGAAACAGCCCAGACCACCAGCUAAGGUCCCAAAAUAUAUGUUAAGUGGAAAAGGAUGUGGCGUUGCCCAGACAACUAGGAUGUUGGCUUAGAAGCAGCCAUCAUUUAAAGAGUGCGUAAUAGCUCACUAGUCGAGUGACACUGCGCCGAAAAUGUACCGGGGCUAAACAUAUUACCGAAGCUGUGGAUUGUCCUUUGGACAAUGGUAGGAGAGCGUUCUAAGGGCGUUGAAGCAUGAUCGUAAGGACAUGUGGAGCGCUUAGAAGUGAGAAUGCCGGUGUGAGUAGCGAAAGACGGGUGAGAAUCCCGUCCACCGAUUGACUAAGGUUUCCAGAGGAAGGCUCGUCCGCUCUGGGUUAGUCGGGUCCUAAGCUGAGGCCGACAGGCGUAGGCGAUGGAUAACAGGUUGAUAUUCCUGUACCACCUAUAAUCGUUUUAAUCGAUGGGGGGGACGCAGUAGGAUAGGCGAAGCGUGCGAUUGGAUUGCACGUCUAAGCAGUAAGGCUGAGUAUUAGGCAAAUCCGGUACUCAUUAAGGCUGAGCUGUGAUGGGGAGAAGACAUUGUGUCUUCGAGUCGUUGAUUUCACACUGCCGAGAAAAGCCUCUAGAUAGAAAAUAGGUGCCCGUACCGCAAACCGACACAGGUAGUCAAGAUGAGAAUUCUAAGGUGAGCGAGCGAACUCUCGUUAAGGAACUCGGCAAAAUGACCCCGUAACUUCGGGAGAAGGGGUGCUCUUUAGGGUUAACGCCCAGAAGAGCCGCAGUGAAUAGGCCCAAGCGACUGUUUAUCAAAAACACAGGUCUCUGCUAAACCGUAAGGUGAUGUAUAGGGGCUGACGCCUGCCCGGUGCUGGAAGGUUAAGAGGAGUGGUUAGCUUCUGCGAAGCUACGAAUCGAAGCCCCAGUAAACGGCGGCCGUAACUAUAACGGUCCUAAGGUAGCGAAAUUCCUUGUCGGGUAAGUUCCGACCCGCACGAAAGGCGUAACGAUUUGGGCACUGUCUCAACGAGAGACUCGGUGAAAUCAUAGUACCUGUGAAGAUGCAGGUUACCCGCGACAGGACGGAAAGACCCCGUGGAGCUUUACUGUAGCCUGAUAUUGAAAUUCGGCACAGCUUGUACAGGAUAGGUAGGAGCCUUUGAAACGUGAGCGCUAGCUUACGUGGAGGCGCUGGUGGGAUACUACCCUAGCUGUGUUGGCUUUCUAACCCGCACCACUUAUCGUGGUGGGAGACAGUGUCAGGCGGGCAGUUUGACUGGGGCGGUCGCCUCCUAAAAGGUAACGGAGGCGCUCAAAGGUUCCCUCAGAAUGGUUGGAAAUCAUUCAUAGAGUGUAAAGGCAUAAGGGAGCUUGACUGCGAGACCUACAAGUCGAGCAGGGUCGAAAGACGGACUUAGUGAUCCGGUGGUUCCGCAUGGAAGGGCCAUCGCUCAACGGAUAAAAGCUACCCCGGGGAUAACAGGCUUAUCUCCCCCAAGAGUUCACAUCGACGGGGAGGUUUGGCACCUCGAUGUCGGCUCAUCGCAUCCUGGGGCUGUAGUCGGUCCCAAGGGUUGGGCUGUUCGCCCAUUAAAGCGGUACGCGAGCUGGGUUCAGAACGUCGUGAGACAGUUCGGUCCCUAUCCGUCGUGGGCGUAGGAAAUUUGAGAGGAGCUGUCCUUAGUACGAGAGGACCGGGAUGGACAUACCUCUGGUGUACCAGUUGUCGUGCCAACGGCAUAGCUGGGUAGCUAUGUGUGGACGGGAUAAGUGCUGAAAGCAUUUAAGCAUGAAGCCCCCCUCAAGAUGAGAUUUCCCAACUUCGGUUAUAAGAUCCCUCAUAGAUGAUGAGGUUAAUAGGUUCGAGGUGGAAGCAUGGUGACAUGUGGAGCUGACGAAUACUAAUCGAUCGAAGACUUAAUCAA